This 139-nucleotide unclassified non-coding RNA is filed under the name uncultured Preussia. RNAcentral's name for it is "sequence contains ITS1". Lineage: Eukaryota; Fungi; Ascomycota; Dothideomycetes; Pleosporales; Sporormiaceae. The record is from RNAcentral.
UCGUGGGGCUCCGGCCCCGUCGAGAUAACACCCUUGCCUUUAUGAGUACCCUUCGUUUUCCUCGGCCGGAUUCGGCCAGUGGGGAGCACAAAACACCCUGUAACCACCUGUAACAGUCUGAUAAAACAAACAAAAAUCA